Molecule: ribosomal RNA, 419 nt
Filed under: uncultured bacterium
Lineage: Bacteria
Description: bacterial SSU rRNA
Rfam family: Bacterial small subunit ribosomal RNA
Source: RNAcentral
GACGAACGCUGGCGGCGUGCUUAAUACAUGCAAGUCAACUGAACUUAGGAUGGCAAUAUUUUAAGGGAGGUGGCGCACGGGUGAGUAACACGUAGGUAAUCUGCCUUUAGGUCUGACAUAACCUACCGAAAGGUAGGCUAAAAAUCAGAUGAUGCAGCGGCUCGACAUCGAGACAGUUGUUAAAUCUUCGGAGCCUAAAGAUGAGCCUGCGUCUGAUUAGGUAGUUGGCGGUUGUAAUGGACCACCAAGCCUGCGAUCAGUAGCUGGUCUGAGAGGAUGAUCAGCCACACUGGAACUGAGACACGGUCCAGACUCCUACGGGAGGCAGCAGUAAGGAAUAUUGCUCAAUGGCCGAAGGGCUGAAGCAGCAACGCCGCGUGGAGGAUGAAAUACUUUUGUAUGUAAACUCCUGUUAAGAA